ACGAACGCUGGCGGCGUGCUUAACACAUGCACGUCGUACGGUAAGGCCCUUUCGGGGGUCCACGAGUGGCGAACGGGUGAGUAACACGUGAGUAACCUGCCCACAACUUUGGGAUAACGCUAGGAAACUGGUGCUAAUACUGGAUAUGUGCUCCUGCUGCAUGGUGGGGGUUGGAAAGCUCCGGCGGUUGUGGAUGGACUCGCGGCCUAUCAGCUUGUUGGUGGGGUAGUGGCCUACCAAGGCGGCGACGGGUAGCCGGCCUGAGAGGGUGACCGGCCACAUUGGGACUGAGAUACGGCCCAGACUCCUACGGGAGGCAGCAGUGGGGAAUAUUGCACAAUGGGCGCAAGCCUGAUGCAGCAACGCCGCGUGCGGGAUGACGGCCUUCGGGUUGUAAACCGCUUUCAGCAGGGACGAAGCUUUUUGUGACGGUACCUGCAGAAGAAGCACCGGCUAACUACGUG
Molecule: ribosomal RNA, 464 nt
Filed under: uncultured bacterium
Lineage: Bacteria
Description: partial 16S ribosomal RNA
Rfam family: Bacterial small subunit ribosomal RNA
Source: RNAcentral